Molecule: transfer RNA, 74 nt
Filed under: Gracilariopsis chorda
Lineage: Eukaryota; Rhodophyta; Florideophyceae; Gracilariales; Gracilariaceae
Description: Gracilaria chorda tRNA
Rfam family: tRNA
About the family: Transfer RNA (tRNA) molecules are approximately 80 nucleotides in length. Their secondary structure includes four short double-helical elements and three loops (D, anti-codon, and T loops).
Source: Rfam by way of RNAcentral
GCUCUCGUAGCUCAGUUGGUUAGAGCGCCAGCCUAACAUGCUGGAGGUCAGGAGUUCGACCCUCCUCGAGAGUA